UUCCAGCCCGAGGAGGAGGAAGAUGACGGAGCACAGCGAGCGAAAGCCAAGACCAAAAAAAAGCAGUGGUGGAGGCCGUGGGUUGACCAUGCUUCCAUGGUUAGAAGUGGAGACUAUUACUUGUUUGAAACUGACAGUGAAGAGGAAGAAGAAGAGGAGGAGGAGAAAAAGGAGGACGAUCAGCCAAAGAAGUCUGCG
This is a long non-coding RNA of Notothenia coriiceps (black rockcod), 198 nucleotides long. RefSeq lists it as uncharacterized. The record is from RefSeq and is a predicted model, not a curated record. Lineage: Eukaryota; Metazoa; Chordata; Actinopteri; Perciformes; Nototheniidae. The transcript has 3 exons.